Non-coding RNA from Macaca mulatta (Rhesus monkey), 1354 nucleotides. The record is from RefSeq and is a predicted model, not a curated record. Lineage: Eukaryota; Metazoa; Chordata; Mammalia; Primates; Cercopithecidae.
CAGAGUCUCACUCUGUUGCCCAGGCUGGAGUGCAGUGGCACAAUCUUUGCUCACUGCAACCUCCACCUCCUGGGUUCAAGCAAUUCUCCUGCCUCAGCCUCCUGAGUCCCUGAGACUACAGAUGUAGGCGAAUAACAUGAACACUGCUUCAUCUUUGUUCCACAUGUUUCUGAGAUAGCACCAACUUCACACAUUCCUGGACUGUUGGCAACAGCAGGCCUGAAGAACCACUCUUGGGGCCUUCCCCAGCCCUGGACACAGCCCUUUCCUCUCAAGUCAGUGAUGACCAGACAAUUCAUAAGGCGGCAAAUGGCUUUCCCACACUGGGGCCACUUCGAAGUACCACAUAUGAAAAUAACGUGCAACCCGGGAAAAAGCUCAAGGUCUGGGAAAACACCAAGUGCCUGGAAUCAGUUGUUUGUUGUGAAAUCGAUGCUAAAUAUAUAAAAAGCUAAAGUGAAAGGACUUAUGUGGAAGAAACUUUUAAGUCAACGAUUUGGAUGAAGAAAUGCACAAGAGGCUUCCUUUACACAAAUCUCAUGUGAUCCUGGUUUUAAAUGGGGGUGCAGAGUUCCUGAGAGGACAGCUACUGUGCGUCCGCGUUUGGGAGCCACACUGUGGCUUCCUUUGGCCCCUUUAAGCGGCUGCCAUUCCCUGGCCAGGGAAGACACAGGUGAGAUAGGCCACAGGUGCUUCCUGAAACUGUCUGCUCCUGCUUCCGCUUGACCUUAGCUUUGCAAAUCCUGAGCGCUUUGUGGGCACCUCUGGGAUGCAACUUGUUGGUGUCAUGCCCACUUUGCCAGGUCCUGCUGGCGGAUAUGGGCUGCUUGUCUUCUUUGUCCUCAGGUCCCCAUGUCCCUCCUGAUGGUGUGUGGCCCAGAUGGGAUGGAGUCCUCUGCACCAGCACUUACUUAAGGCUCUACCCACCCACCACUCCCAUUCUCUCUGCUUGUUACUAUAAUCCCCAUUUUCAGAGGAGGAAACAGGCUCAUGAAGGCUCAGUCAUUUACCCAAAUUCAGCAGCAAAGCUUGGAUCUGAACGGAAAGCUCUGUCGUACUUGCCACUUCCUCUGCUGGAUGACAUUUUGGUGGCUCCGUGUUACAUUCUCUAUCAGGCUGUACACCUUUUGAGCCCAAGGGCUGUUCUAUCCAUCCAGCCUGGUCUCACACAUGGAUGUUGGUGAAAAUGGAUGGGGAUGGAUGGAUGGAUGGAUGGAUGUUGGGAAAAUUAAAGGGAAACACAGAGGACGAAUGGAUAGAAUUAAGGGAAGUUUCUUUUGUAUAUAAAUUUUUUCUGAUUAUAAUAUUAUUACAUGGUCCUAAACAUCCAAAUAAAGGAACGUAGAACACAUCA